Molecule: unclassified non-coding RNA, 404 nt
Filed under: soil metagenome
Description: partial contains 5.8S ribosomal RNA, internal transcribed spacer 2, and large subunit ribosomal RNA
Rfam family: 5.8S ribosomal RNA (bases 1-121)
Source: RNAcentral
GAUGAAGAACGCAGCGAAAUGCGAUAAGUAAUGUGAAUUGCAGAAUUCAGUGAAUCAUCGAAUCUUUGAACGCACCUUGCGCCCUUUGGCUAUUCCGAAGGGCAUGCCUGUUUGAGUAUCAUGAACACCUCAACCCUCAUGGUUUGCCAUGAUGGGCUUGGACUUUGGGGGUCUUGCUGGAUUGUAGUCAGCUCCCCUUAAAUGAAUCGGCUUGCCAGUGUUUGGUGGCAUCACAGGUGUGAUAAAUAUCUACGCUUGUGGUUUUACAUCAGAUAACCUUCAGUGAUGGAGGUUCACUGGAGCUCAUAAAGGUGUCUCUCCUCUGUGAGGACAGCUCUUUGAAUGUUUGAUCUCAAAUCAGGCAGGACUACCCGCUGAACUUAAGCAUAUCAAUAAGCGGAGGA